CGGAUUGUAGUCUGCAACUCGACUACAUGAAGCUGGAAUCGCUAGUAAAUCGCGAAUCAGAAUGUCGCGGUGAAUACGUUCCCGGGUCUUGUACACACCGCCCGUCACACCAUGGGAGUUGGGAAUGCCCGAGGCCGGUGACCUAACCGAAAGGGAGGAGCCGUCGAAGGCAGGCUUGAUAACUGGGGUGAAGUCGUAACAAGGUAGC
RNAcentral lists this ribosomal RNA (208 nucleotides) under uncultured bacterium. Its description in RNAcentral is "partial 16S ribosomal RNA". It matches the Rfam family "Bacterial small subunit ribosomal RNA", at positions 1294 to 1500 of the family's 1533-position model. The record is from RNAcentral.